AUGCAGAAGAGUUCAGUUGGUUAGAGCAUGGUGCUGAUAAUGCCAGGGUUGCAGGUUCGAUCCUUCUUUGGACA
Podarcis lilfordi (Lilford's wall lizard) is the source of this 74-nucleotide non-coding RNA. The record is from the annotation of a GenBank genome assembly. NCBI's taxonomy places the organism in Eukaryota, Metazoa, Chordata, Lepidosauria, Squamata, Lacertidae.